This 289-nucleotide ribosomal RNA is filed under the name uncultured Thalassospira sp. RNAcentral's name for it is "partial 16S ribosomal RNA". It matches the Rfam family "Bacterial small subunit ribosomal RNA", at positions 29 to 334 of the family's 1533-position model. Lineage: Bacteria; Pseudomonadati; Pseudomonadota; Alphaproteobacteria; Rhodospirillales; Thalassospiraceae. The record is from RNAcentral.
AACGAACGCUGGCGGCAGGCCUAACACAUGCAAGUCGAGGGAGAAGCUAUCUUCGGAUAGUGGAGACCGGCAGACGGGUGAGUAACACGUGGGAACAUACCGAGUAGGUGGGGGAUACCAGUUGGAAACGACUGCUAAUACCGCAUACGCCCUUCGGGGGAAAGAUUUAUCGCUAUUCGAUUGGCCCGCGUUAGAUUAGCUUGUUGGUAAGGUAACGGCUUACCAAGGCUACGAUCUAUAGCUGGUUUGGGAGGAUGAUCAGCCACACUGGGACUGAGACACGGCCCAG